UGAAUAUUUACAUUCUCUCAAAGAGUUUUAAUUUUACUUAGCUAAUACAGAUGAUGAUGGAUUCCCCAACAGAAAUCUUGAUGAUCGAACGAUUAAGGUGAAAAAAAUUGAAGAAUUGCAUCAAUUGUUACAGAGAAUCGAUUUGCAAGCAGAAACAGGUGCUCAAAGAUAAGGGAAUACAACAGCCAUCCACGAUCCUUUACAUAUAAAGGUAUUAUAUUGUACAUUGUAUAUACACUGUAUAUAUUGUCUACAUUUUCUGAAUUUAUGAUUUUUUAAAAAUCUUUCAAAAGAUAUAAAUGUACAUUGUCAUGUCAUGUCAUUCAAAUAGAGACGUGCACACUGCAAUUGUCUUUGAUAAAAGAUAGAGUUACAUGUUACUUUUGUAUGCCUUUUUAGUGUUAUCAGCUUAUAUACUUGUUCAGUAUUGUUAAAAUCUAUAAAUGUACCUUAUAUGUACAUGUAUGUUGAAAUGUCUGUAGGAAUAUAUACAUAAACAUGUAAUCAUAAUGUUUCAAAAAGCCAAACAUUGUAAUUAUUUUUUGGGGCCCAUUAUAGCCUUUUGUUCGGUGUGAGCCAAGGCUCCAUGUUGAAGGCCGUACAUGGACCUAUCGUUGUUUAAUUUUAUAAAUUGUUAUUUGGAUGGAGAGUUGUCUUAUUGAAACUCACACCACAUCUGCCUAUAUCUAUAAUAUAUAUAUAUUGGGAAUCCUCUACACCCUGUAAAUUUCCUUUGCUUAGACUAAGUUUAACAAAUAUAAUAUGCAAUGUUUAUGAUAUAUACUAGACUUGCUUGAAUUUUUUUAAAUUCAACUAAUUAUCUCCUGGCAAUGCACAUUUAGUUAGGGAAUUUUUUAUGUUUUAUUUUGCAGUAAGUAGCUGUUCAUGAUGCUUAUAGGCAUAUACAAUCUAGUCUGGGCAUGUAAAACAGCAGCUGGUUCUAUUUUGAAGUAAGCUAUUUAGUGAUUACAUCAAUUUCACAUGACUAGACCAAGUCUUGGGAUAAAUUAAUAGUACUCAUUGUCAUGAUUGUACUAGCUUUUUAUUGUUUAUAUAUUUUAUGGAAAAUACUGUUAGUAGAGGCCUGCAAAAAUAAAUUUAUAAGGUGAUGAAGUGUGGUUGCCAAUGAGAGUAGAGACAUCUAACCAAUAGCAUGAAUAGAGUCAUGGGGGAUAGAAUUAUACUCUUUUUACAAUUAAGUGUCACAAAAAAAAUUGCAGGAAAAAAAUAAAAAAAAAUAAAAUUAAUUGUGUAUUUAGUACAAUAAGCCAAAUCAAACAAUGACUGACUUAAAUCUUGUUUGAAAUUUUUCACAUUUCUAUUGAUUAAAUAUUACUUUAUAGAUCAAAUUAUAAAUACAUAUAAGGUUAAGUUAAAAGGGCAGUAAUCCAAUUUCAGAUUUUUUGUUGUUGGUUAUAUUGUAUACAGCUGAUUGUACUAUUUACAAAUACUUCUCAUAUGUCAAAAGAAAACACAAUUGCUGUACCUAAUAUUGUGAUUUAUAUUGAAAUUAAUAAAGACAACAAAGAGUUAUUCAAAUAACAAUCUCCCUAGGGGAAAAGGGAGUGUUACAUAAUUUUAGACCUCCAUAGUGGCCCAAAGACACAUCAAACACUCACCAAAAUAUAAGCCUGAACCCCUGAGGGGAUCACACAUCAAAUGAUAAAAGUUGUAUAUAUUCUACACAAUAAGAGCAAACAAUGAAAGUAGGAGUUUUUAAAUAUAAACUGUAAGAUACAAAUUAAUAAAUUUUUUAAUGUUGAUGAAUAAAUCACAAUGUGGUUAAAUAGUUGUAAUAAAAUGUAAUGUCAGCCAACAAUAGUAGAAGGGUUUUAUGUUUAAUGAUUCAUGCUUUUUUUUGUUCAUCUUUAUAUCUGUUCUGGUCAGGAUAGUUGUUGAUGAAGUUAAUGACCAAUCAACUCAAAAAAUAGAUACACAUGUGCCUAAUGUUAUAAUCUUUCUAAUGAUAGAUUAAUGGUUUUGACCCCAAUUUCAUGGUCCAUAGAAAAUACAAAAUUUAUCAUGACUUCUAGCUAUUCUUUUAAUAGAGUUAUGCUACAAGAUAUUUUUGGGUCACUCAUUAGAAUAUUUUUUAAAUGCAAAUGUUUAUGAUUUGAUUACAACUGCAUUAAGAUAGAAAAAUUGGAUGCAGAAAAUUAUUUCUUUUGUCAUAUAGAUAUCAGUUAGUCAAUUUAAUAAAAUUAAACAUUUUUUAAUUACUUUAUUGCAGAAUCUACAAAAUAGAGCUAAGGUCCUUUAAGCCAAGAAACUGCUAGUGUCUGAAGAGGACAAUUUAAGACAGGACAUGAAAAUUGAUUUAAUGUCAAGUUGGAACAGUGAUUCUGUAAAUAAAUUCGCCUGAUCACAAGACCUCGGAUUUGACUGAAUCUUACAUGGAUAGACCAAAGUCAUUUACUAGACUGUAAAUACUAGAGGCAGCUGAAAGCACAAGGCACAAAGCUGAGGUCCAAGUAAAUCAGAGAGGCGGUGUCACAAGAAAUGUACAGAACUUGCAUGUUUUUUUCCUUAAGGGUAUAUGACAAAAUAUUGAGAUAUAUGUCAAUGAAAAUUACUUUGAAUUUAAAAAAGG
Molecule: long non-coding RNA, 2590 nt
Filed under: Mytilus galloprovincialis (Mediterranean mussel)
Lineage: Eukaryota; Metazoa; Mollusca; Bivalvia; Mytilida; Mytilidae
Source: RNAcentral